Molecule: unclassified non-coding RNA, 566 nt
Filed under: Hevea brasiliensis (rubber tree)
Lineage: Eukaryota; Viridiplantae; Streptophyta; Magnoliopsida; Malpighiales; Euphorbiaceae
Source: RNAcentral
GAAUGAUGAAUUCUCAAGGGUCUUAAGUCAACAAAUCGACUUUUACUCAAACGAUCCUAAUGCAGACAGAAUAAACCGCAUCAGAGGUGAAAUGAGUCAGGUACGCAAUGUCAUGAUAGAGAACAUCGACAAAGUUCUUGAAAGAGGAGAUCGACUGGAACUGUUGGUUGACAAAACUGCAAAUAUGCAAGGGAAUACUUUUCGCUUUAGAAAACAAGCUCGCCGUUUCAGGAGUACAGUAUGGUGGCGGAAUGUUAAACUCACGAUUAUGCUGAUUGUCGUCCUCCUGAUUAUAGUUUAUGUUGUGCUUGCAUUUGUGUGCCAUGGUGUCACUCUGCCAACUUGUAUCAGGUGAAUAUGGCUUCUACUCGUCCCCGGUAUGUUUUUGUGUGCGAUCUAUGAGCAGUAUUUUGCUCUCGAACUUAUGUGUUUUGUUGCAAAGACAUUGAAACUUAAUUAUUUAAUGAUUUUUUUUUUCUGGUGGAUAAUCUUGCCUCUGUAAUUCUAUAUUACUUGUAGAGUGAAACUAGUUGUAUGUAUGUCUUGCUUUAUUCGUGGCAUUAUUC